Molecule: ribosomal RNA, 637 nt
Filed under: Salmonella enterica subsp. enterica serovar Senftenberg
Lineage: Bacteria; Pseudomonadati; Pseudomonadota; Gammaproteobacteria; Enterobacterales; Enterobacteriaceae
Also listed under: 2 other names
Description: partial 23S ribosomal RNA
Rfam family: Bacterial large subunit ribosomal RNA
Source: RNAcentral
GGACGCCAGUCUGCGUGGAGCCAACCUUGAAAUACCACCCUUUAAUGUUUGAUGUUCUAACGUGGACCCGUAAUCCGGGUUGCGGACAGUGUCUGGUGGGUAGUUUGACUGGGGCGGUCUCCUCCUAAAGAGUAACGGAGGAGCACGAAGGUUGGCUAAUCCUGGUCGGACAUCAGGAGGUUAGUGCAAUGGCAUAAGCCAGCUUGACUGCGAGCGUGACGGCGCGAGCAGGUGCGAAAGCAGGUCAUAGUGAUCCGGUGGUUCUGAAUGGAAGGGCCAUCGCUCAACGGAUAAAAGGUACUCCGGGGAUAACAGGCUGAUACCGCCCAAGAGUUCAUAUCGACGGCGGUGUUUGGCACCUCGAUGUCGGCUCAUCACAUCCUGGGGCUGAAGUAGGUCCCAAGGGUAUGGCUGUUCGCCAUUUAAAGUGGUACGCGAGCUGGGUUUAGAACGUCGUGAGACAGUUCGGUCCCUAUCUGCCGUGGGCGCUGGAGAACUGAGGGGGGCUGCUCCUAGUACGAGAGGACCGGAGUGGACGCAUCACUGGUGUUCGGGUUGUCAUGCCAAUGGCACUGCCCGGUAGCUAAAUGCGGAAGAGAUAAGUGCUGAAAGCAUCUAAGCACGAAACUUGCCCCGA